UAUCUUUUUUAAAUUUAAAUUUAAGCCUCUUACUUGGAAGGAAAGUGUACUGAUGUUAUACUAAAAAGAU
RNAcentral lists this transfer RNA (70 nucleotides) under Cymbiola nobilis. RNAcentral describes it as "tRNA-Gly". The record is from RNAcentral. Lineage: Eukaryota; Metazoa; Mollusca; Gastropoda; Neogastropoda; Volutidae.